RNAcentral lists this ribosomal RNA (253 nucleotides) under uncultured bacterium. Its description in RNAcentral is "partial 16S ribosomal RNA". It matches the Rfam family "Bacterial small subunit ribosomal RNA", at positions 524 to 776 of the family's 1533-position model. The record is from RNAcentral.
UACGUAGGGGGCUAGCGUUGUCCGGAUUUAUUGGGCGUAAAGAGCGUGUAGGCGGCCAUGUAGGUCCGGUGUGAAAACUCGAGGCUUAACCUCGAGAUGUCAUCGGAAACCAUUUGGCUAGAGUCCGGAAGAGGAGAGUGGAAUUCCUGGUGUAGCGGUGAAAUGCGCAGAUAUCAGGAGGAACACCAAUAGCGAAGGCAGCUCGCUGGGACGGUACUGACGCUGAGGCGCGAAAGCGUGGGGAGCGAACAGG